CUGAUUAUAUUAAAGAGCCGCAGUAUUCUGACUGUGCGAAGGUAGCAUAAUAAAUUGUCUUUUAAAUGGAGGCUUGAAUGAAAGGUUGGACAAAGUAUCAUCUGUUUCUUAAAUAUUUAUUGAAUUUGACUUUCAAGUGAAAAGGCUUGAAUAAAUUAAAAAGACGAUAAGACCCUAUAAAUCUUUACAAUAAACAUGUUCUAUAUUUUAAUUUAUAAGUAUAUAAAAUAUUAAAUUUGUAUUUGUUUCGCUGGGGCGGCGUGGAUAUAUUAAUAAACUGUCUAUGUGUUAAAUCCAAUAAUUAUUGAUUAGUGAGAUUGAUCCUUAAAUAGAUUAAAAGAUUAAGAUACUUUAGGGAUAACAGCGUUAUUUUUUUUGAGAGUUCUUAUCGAAGAAAAAGUUUGCGACCUCGAUGUUGAAUUAAAGUAUCUUUAUGGUGCAGCCGCUAUAAGAGAGAGUCUGUUCGACUUUUAAUACUUUACAUGAUCUGA
RNAcentral lists this ribosomal RNA (491 nucleotides) under Pagurus bernhardus (common hermit crab). RNAcentral describes it as "partial 16S ribosomal RNA". It matches the Rfam family "Bacterial large subunit ribosomal RNA", at positions 1912 to 2608 of the family's 2925-position model. Lineage: Eukaryota; Metazoa; Arthropoda; Malacostraca; Decapoda; Paguridae. The record is from RNAcentral.